Callithrix jacchus (white-tufted-ear marmoset) is the source of this 99-nucleotide small nuclear RNA. The record is from Ensembl. Lineage: Eukaryota; Metazoa; Chordata; Mammalia; Primates; Cebidae.
UUGCUUUUGUAGCACAUGUACUAAUAUUGGAACAAUAUAGAGGUUAGCACACCUCUGUGUAAGGAUGACAUACAAAUUUGAGAAGUGUUUCAUAUUUUU